CGUUUCGCAUCUUGUUUAUGUGUCAUGUCAAGUUCGAAGGUUUCAUAUUAAAAACGAAAGUAGAGUCGGUCACGCCAUGACUGUUAUGGGCCGGGGAAACGUUCAGUCUGCCUGGGUUAUAUAUAGGUAGAUUAAUUGAUUUCGGAUCAGAAAUUAUCAAUGUUCAUGGAUUCUCAGAACACAGCAGGGAGAAGUUAUGUUAUGAACAGUUCUUAUCAACAAACCCUGUAAGAAGAAGGACACCUGUUCUACAGCUUGUGGUGGAUCAUAGAACACAUGAUAUCAACCAAGUUUAAAGGAAGCAUGUAUAGCCACAAUAGAAAGAUUUAAGGAUUGUGAGAAACCAAAUAUGACAAAUCAAAGUAAAUUUCAUGGGAGUGUGAAAAAAAAAAGAAUAGUAGAGUGUAAUCCUCAGGACUUUCUUCAGACUUCCAUAAAGUCAGGAAAUACUGUUGAGCUGACAAAAUUAACAAAAAUCAUGAUUCUCAAAAAUUCAAGGAAGAUGUGAGAGUUAAGACUAAGAUGGAUUUUAGGAGUUUUGAUGACAAAGAAUCAACCAUUGGAAAUAUGGCUUUAAACUUGGAGCUCAUUAUUGAUGCAUACAUGAUGGUGGGCUGAAGAAGAAAACCAGGACAAAAGAAAAUUCCUAGUGUUCAUCAGAAAAAAUGAAUCAUGCAACCAUUUUGAGUGCUUGAAUGCUGAACUGAGAGACCGCCAGCCAGUGCGGAAAAUAUUUCUUGGAAGUUACACCAAAUCUGCUGUGACAAUUGAAUUAAAGCUUUAAAAGUAGAUUUAAAAACAUACUGAUUCCUCUAUAAGUGAGACUUGAUUGCUUUUGACAGUUGCCGGUGGAUUUCAGAUCUUCUAAAUUGUACCAAUAUUAUAUAUUGAAGUGAUUUGCCUUAAAAUUACAUUU
This is a long non-coding RNA of Saccostrea echinata, 916 nucleotides long. RefSeq lists it as uncharacterized. NCBI's taxonomy places the organism in Eukaryota, Metazoa, Mollusca, Bivalvia, Ostreida, Ostreidae. The transcript is spliced from 4 exons. The record is from RefSeq and is a predicted model, not a curated record.